UUUGGGGCCAUGGCUCAGUGGCAGAGCAUCUGCUUGACAUGCAGAUGCUCCUGGGUUCAAUUGCUGGAAUCUUCAGAU
RNAcentral lists this transfer RNA (78 nucleotides) under Sphaerodactylus townsendi. RNAcentral's name for it is "tRNA-Val". It matches the Rfam family "tRNA". Rfam says of the family: Transfer RNA (tRNA) molecules are approximately 80 nucleotides in length. Their secondary structure includes four short double-helical elements and three loops (D, anti-codon, and T loops). Lineage: Eukaryota; Metazoa; Chordata; Lepidosauria; Squamata; Sphaerodactylidae. The record is from RNAcentral.